CCUAACACAUGCAAGUCGAACGGUAACAGGAAGCAGCUUGCUGCUUCGCUGACGAGUGGCGGACGGGUGAGUAAUGUCUGGGAAGCUGCCUGAUGGAGGGGGAUAACUACUGGAAACGGUAGCUAAUACCGCAUAAUGUCGCAAGACCAAAGAGGGGGACCUUCGGGCCUCUUGCCAUCGGAUGUGCCCAGAUGGGAUUAGCUUGUUGGUGGGGUAACGGCUCACCAAGGCGACGAUCCCUAGCUGGUCUGAGAGGAUGACCAGCCACACUGGAACUGAGACACGGUCCAGACUCCUACGGGAGGCAGCAGUGGGGAAUAUUGCACAAUGGGCGCAAGCCUGAUGCAGCCAUGCCGCGUGUAUGAAGAAGGCCUUCGGGUUGUAAAAUACUUUCAGCGGGGAGGAAGGGAGUAAAGUUAAUACCUUUGCUCAUUGACGUUACCCGCAGAAGAAGCACCGGCUAACUCCGUGCCAGCAGCCGCGGUAAUACGGAGGGUGCAAGCGUUAAUCGGAAUUACUGGGCGUAAAGCGCACGCAGGCGGUUUGUUAAGUCAGAUGUGAAAUCCCCGGGCUCAACCUGGGAACUGCAUCUGAUACUGGCAAGCUUGAGUCUCGUAGAGGGGGGU
Molecule: ribosomal RNA, 626 nt
Filed under: uncultured bacterium
Lineage: Bacteria
Description: bacterial SSU rRNA
Rfam family: Bacterial small subunit ribosomal RNA
Source: RNAcentral